AGACCCCCCCCCCACCCCCCAAAUUUGUGAAUGACAUGUUCAUUACUAAAAGUUAUAUUUUUAUUCCUUUUUUAUUUUAUGCAAACAUGAAAUGAAUGAGGAAAGACAGUAACAAUACAAUUAUCAUUAAGGAGUGCCUUGAUUAAACUAAUCAAAUUCAAGGCAGAAAAUAUGAACAGAUUGAUGGGGUGGUAUUAGAGUAUUAGACAAUGGUGUGUGGAUCGAUUCCAUAUUAUACCAGUUUUUCCUUGAACAGAACACUUCAUGGCUGUUUUAUCUCUCCCAGCAAUUAAUUGUAAAUGCUUAAAAUGAAACUUUUUUUUUUUUUUUUUAACUACAGGGACUUAUACAUGUCAUAUGCUGAGCCACAUUAUUUAUCCCAUCAAGCAUAAUUUAUGUAAAUCAAAAAUCAAAUGGUUCAAAUUGUUAUUUAUUUCAUAGAAAAAUCAGUCAAAGAGUUUUGCGUCUAAAAGUUCUCUCAGUCAGCAGGUAUCUGAGUGUAUUUUCUGUAAAGUUGAAGAGAGAGUCAUAAAGGACGCUAUUUGCAAGAAUGAGACUGAAUAAUAUAGGACAAUAACAUUAACAUCAUCGCAGAUGCUCCUGAAGGAAUUACUUCCUCUAGAAGGAAUUACUCAUAUUGCAAAGAACCACGAGCAAAAAAUCAUUUCUUUUAGCGUCUUGCGCAACUCCUGACUGCGAUACGCGUAAAUGAGAGGGUCUAUAAGCGAGUUGCAUAUGAUAAGAAUUAGAAACAGGUUGAAAUGACUGAAAUAACACUUGCAGUAAGGAUUGGUGGGACAGGUGAGGAUGAGGAUGAGGUGGAGAAAAAACGGCCCCCAGCAGAUGACGAAAACCCCGAGCAGGAUGGUCAGAGUAAUGGCUCCCUUCAUGCUAGUGGCUUGCCGGCGACUCUUAUGGAGAGCCAUGAUGCGUCUGGAGUGGACGUGCGCCAGGAUGAACAUGUGCAGGCCGCCUCCCUUGUCUGCUGAUUGGCUCUGGAAGCUGUCAGUCAUCAUUAAUCAAUGUGACACCGACCUAUCCAGUGCCAGUAAAGUUUCCACCGGCAGAUAAAAGGAUGUGCAAGGAAGUGAACAAAGACCUCUUUUGCUUCCUGGGUUUUUGCUGUUAUGUUACUUGUUUCUUGAUUUGAUUUGUUUCUUUGUUUAUGCCAAAUUUCAAUUUGUUUGUUUUGCCAUUUUUCUUUUGAACCUUACCUCUUUCUUGAUUUGCUAUUUUGUUUGUGUUAGUCACUUUGUGACUUGGAUGGCGUUGCUCUUUGAGCUUUGCUGAGCUUAGGCUCUAGGACGUUUACUCUUUACCCAAGAGGAAGGUGGAUAGGAAAGAUGUCGUGCGACUUCCAUUGUGCAACAUUUAGGUAACUCGAUCUGUUUAGACACCCUAGGUAAGAGGUGAACACCACCCCCUGUAUGUUUGGUUUCUAUUAGUUGAGGAUAGGGAAGUUUAUGGCGCUUGGCGCUGAAGAUUUGCUCUCUUUUCUUUAGUUAGGUUAGAGGUUUAAAAUAAGUUAGAAGUUUUUGUUUCUUUCUUUCUUUUGGCGUCACUAGCGUCCUCUUUCUCUUGGGUUGAUUUUGUAUUGUUUUUUUGUUUUGUUUUCUGAGUUGUAAAUAUUUGUACAUAUUGGUUGUCUCUUUAAUGAUAUAUAUUAUAAAUAUUUUGGUAGUUAUUUGGAUUUUCACUUUGUACAAUAAAUCACAUUUGUUUGCAACUGGUGUCUCUGCA
This is a long non-coding RNA of Cyprinus carpio (common carp), 1740 nucleotides long. Lineage: Eukaryota; Metazoa; Chordata; Actinopteri; Cypriniformes; Cyprinidae. The record is from Ensembl.